Molecule: ribosomal RNA, 402 nt
Filed under: Fusobacteriota bacterium
Lineage: Bacteria; Fusobacteriati; Fusobacteriota
Description: Fusobacteria bacterium partial 16S ribosomal RNA
Rfam family: Bacterial small subunit ribosomal RNA
Source: RNAcentral
UGGGGAAUUUUGCACAAUGGGGGAAACCCUGAUGCAGCGACGCCGCGUGAUUUAGAAGGCCUUCGGGUUGUAAAAAUCUUUCCUAUGGGAAGAAAAUGACAGUACCAUAGGAAUAAGGACCGGCUAAUUACGUGCCAGCAGCCGCGGUAAUACGUAAGGUCCGAGCGUUGUCCGGAAUCAUUGGGCGUAAAGGGUACGUAGGCGGGUAAGCAAGUUAGAAGUGAAAUCCUAUAGCUCAACUAUAGUAAGCUUUUAAAACUGCUCAUCUUGAGGUAUGGAAGGGAAAGUGGAAUUCCUAGUGUAGCGGUGAAAUGCGCAGAUAUUAGGAGGAAUACCGGUGGCGAAGGCGACUUUCUGGCCAUAACCUGACGCUGAGGUACGAAAGCGUGGGUAGCAAACAGG